Saccharomyces cerevisiae Vin13 is the source of this 334-nucleotide non-coding RNA. The record is from Rfam. Lineage: Eukaryota; Fungi; Ascomycota; Saccharomycetes; Saccharomycetales; Saccharomycetaceae.
UAACACAUUCAACAGUAGGAUCAUUUCUAUAGGAAUCGUCACUCUUUGACUCUUCAAAAGAGCCACUGAAUCCAACUUGGUUGAUGAGCCCCAUAACCUUUGUACCCCAGAGUGAGGAAAUGAAAUCGAAUUUAAAUUAGCUUGGUCCGCAAUCCUUAGCGGUUCGGCCAUCUAUAAUUUUGAAUAAAAUUUUGCUUUGCCGUUGCAAUUGUGAUAACUUYCUUUGGAAUUUGUUGCGAUAUUUAAUGGCGCGAUGAUCUUGACCCAUCCUAUGUGCUUCCAUUUUUGGAAGGAUAGGGAUUCAUGGGUGGGUACAAAUGGCAGUCUGACAAGU